UCUUUGCAGCUUGCCUGCUGCUUGGAUUGCGGGCCAGCAGAACAAGCAGGAGAGAUGGCGAAGAGGGCGAGUGGCUGAGAGGCUAUGGGGCUGGGCAGGGGGCAAUGGGGAGUCACGUGAGGUGCCUCUGGGGUGCCCCUCCAGGCAGUGGGGCCCCCAGACAACUGUCUCCCCUUGCCCUAUCAUUGUUACGCGCCUGAAGAGGGAGGCAGGCACACCAUUGCCCCCAUCCCAUCAGGAGCAGCUCCACUCGCCCAAUUUCACUGCUUGGUGGAUUCAUUCUCUCCUGAGAGCAGGGGAAUCCAACCUGGGUGUACUCUUGCUGCUACAAGAUUGAUGGAGGCCCCCAAAGCCAAGUAGCAUAGGUGAGCUGCGAAAGAUGAUGGCAAUUCCUUGCUGACACCUUUGGAGUGGACAAGGAGGUACGAAGAGACUCCUGACCUUUUACUAAGGGAUCCUACUGGCUGCCAAAUCCAAGCACAGGUUGAACUUCAUGAGAGAGAAAUCUGCCUGGCCGGAGCUGAACUUGAGACAUCUAUUUCCAUCACACUCAACUCUGCUGUUGGGAGUAACAGGAAAGAGAUUGACCAUUCAGCCAGCAUGGAACAGCCGCAUAAGCAGCAGAGGGGGCAAGAGAGAGAGAGAGAGAGAGAGAGAGAGAGAAAGAGAGAGGCAGGCUUUUAAUAUUCAGUAGAUUUUUAAUUGCUGUUGUUUUGAAGCUGGCUUUUAUGUGUUUUUGCUGGUUGCUGUCUUCUCUAAAGUCUUCUUGC
This is a long non-coding RNA of Hemicordylus capensis (graceful crag lizard), 770 nucleotides long. RefSeq lists it as uncharacterized. The record is from RefSeq and is a predicted model, not a curated record. NCBI's taxonomy places the organism in Eukaryota, Metazoa, Chordata, Lepidosauria, Squamata, Cordylidae. The transcript has 3 exons.